UAAGGAAUAUUGCUCAAUGGGAGAAAUCCUGAAGCAGCAACGCCGCGUGGAGGAUGAAGGGUCUAUGACUUGUAAACUCCUGUAAAGAAGGAAAAAAUUCCCAUUUGAUGGGAGAUGAUGGUACUUCUGGAGUAAGCCCCGGCUAACUACGUGCCAGCAGCCGCGGUAAUACGUAGGGGGCAAGCGUUGUCCGGAUUUACUGGGUGUAAAGGGUGCUCAGGCGGAUUUGUAAGUCAGAGGUGAAAUCUUACAGCUUAACUGUGAAACUGCCUUUGAUACUGCAAGCCUAGAGUAUGGAAGAGAGUGAUGGAAUAUCUGGUGUAGCAGUGAAAUGCGUAGAUAUCAGAUAGAACACCAAUGUCGAAGGCGGUCACUUGGUCCAUUACUGACGCUAAAGCACGAAAGCGUGGGUA
Molecule: ribosomal RNA, 413 nt
Filed under: uncultured bacterium
Lineage: Bacteria
Description: bacterial SSU rRNA
Rfam family: Bacterial small subunit ribosomal RNA
Source: RNAcentral